RNAcentral lists this long non-coding RNA (2194 nucleotides) under Ooceraea biroi (clonal raider ant). Its description in RNAcentral is "uncharacterized LOC105284866". The record is from RNAcentral. Lineage: Eukaryota; Metazoa; Arthropoda; Insecta; Hymenoptera; Formicidae.
UUUUAUAAAGCGAGACCAGUUUCUCCUUUAUUCUGCCUUCUCCCUCUCUUUCCCCCUUUCUCGCGCUUUCCCUUUCUUUACUUUCUCUCUUCUCUCUACUUCUUAUGACUAUCUGCUAUUAGCGUUUUUGAGCGUGUCCGUUUGUGCGUGCCAAUUGCUCGCACGGGCAAGCUCCGAACCCGAUUUGUUGCGAGUGCUAGCUGCAAAAGAAGGAGGUGAAGGGGGUCGGAUAAAUAGGCUGUCCAAUUCCAAGCGCGGCAACAGAACGAUAGUCGAGAAGAAAAAGUGAGACAAUGAAAGAGUUAAAGUUGAUACCAUUGAACGAGAAACGUCGCCACAUGUAUACGAGUCUGAUUUAUUUUAUUUUUGCAUAGUCACCCUUUUUGCCUUCCCCAUUUCCCCUUUUACUUUGUGACCCCAUCUUCACGCGUGGAGACAUUGCAUUCUAUUGUUUUUUCGCCAUGACUACGUGGAGAGAUAAAGCCAGAAAGAACUCUCGGAAUGAUUUAGAAAGUUCUUUAUACAGAAGAAGCAUUCAUUUCAUUUCUAUGAUGUAAAUCUUUCUUCGUAUCGAUUCUAUCGUGCAAAAGUAUUUUGACACAUAUAUGUCACAUGUUUAUACAAUAAUCGAUCUGUAAUAAAACAAACGACAUUAUUGCGUAGAUCUUAAAACAUUUGAUUUAUAUUGAUAAUGAAUAUCCAUGCAACCGCGUUCAUCGUGCGCAGCUAAUCGUUCUUGUUCUUCUAUUCCACCCACGGAUUCCUUUUUCGUCGAUCCCUCGUCCAGCGGUAAUCCGUCAUUCCGACGCGGCGUGAAGAGGGUGGUGUAGAAAUUGAAAUGCUAAAAGCGAAAUUGGGUAGGAAUUAGGAAAAACGCCGCGAGAUGGAACGAUGUUUACCCGUCGCUGCAGCAGAAGGGCGCACGAAGGUGGGCCCUAUGGCGAAGUCGGAGAUUUCUCCAUCCCCCAUAGAGGAAAUGGGAACGCGGGGUUGGCUCUGGCCACCCUUCCUUGCCCAGUGGCUGCUGCGUGCCCGAUGAGGGCGAGAGCGAGGGCGAUGAGGCGGGGGCAUCGUGUUAGCGUGGCAAAGGGGAGACUAGAUCGAAACGACGGGGUGAGGGUCGGCUACGAGGUCGCGACGAUGAAGCGUGCUCCGAGUGCCGCGUAAAUAACUUCCAUCUUCGAGGGUGCAGUCGUCUCUCGACAGGAGGCAGAGGAGGAGUAAAAAGAGGAGGAAGCGACUCUCGAACCCGAGGGCAAGAGAGGACAAAAGAAAAAGAAAGUCCGAAUGCAAGGGGCAAGAGGGAAGAAUGGAGAUGGCGGCAGUUAUAGGAGGUAGCGGCGACAUCGUUCCAUGUAGCGCGCACGAGAAAGACAGACUAAAAAAGAAGUUAAUUUUGCAAGAAUGUUUCUGAAAGAUUUUUGCGCAAGUUUAAUAUACGGUACGUCAAAUGAGGUCUUAACAAUCUUAUUAAUUCUCGAGGAAGUCUGCGAUGAAAAGAUCCAAAUUCUUCGUAAGGACCGUUUCUUUGAAGAAUGCUAAAAAGUCUUUGCACAGAUUCACGCGUGAAUGGGUCGCCCAGUGGAUUAUCUAGAAGAAAGAGAACCGAUGGCCUUGGGGAUACACCUGAAGGGUUGUUAAAACUUGGCUCUCGUUUUAAGCUUUUCUUCUUGUCUACGGGAAGACCAAAGUAAGGGUUAAAAAUGAAUAAGAUGGAGUAUGGCAAGAGGGAGAUGUCGAAACAAGUAAACGAGAAACGUGUAGGAGUACGAAGGGGAUGAAAUACGGGGUGUAAAGUAUGGGGAUCGAGUGUGAACCUGAUAGAAAAAGGAUGGACAACGAGACACAACGAGAAAGGGAAGCAGAAAAAGAUGGGGUAACAGUCAGAAAGGCGAAAAAGAGAAGUUUCGUUAUUGAUCAAAGGAAACGGGAGAAUGUCGCUUCCCUCUCCGAUAGCUCAUUCUACUCACAGCUCGUCUUCGACUUCUCAUUAAAAGUAUACCGAGUUCGUCCGCUUAUUUGUGACGUAACCGCAAUCUGUAAGCAGGCAUAAUGCUACAUAAUACAGCACGUCCUAAAGAAAAUAAUGCAAAAUAAUUAAAAAUUUUUAAUCCGUUUUUAUUCGUAUUUAUCGUAUUAUCUGUGUGUACAUUCUAUUAUAUAUAAUAUAAAUAAAAGAUCCCAUAUAGUAUUA